GAGGGUAUAGCUCAGUGGUAGAGUGCGUGCUUAGCAUGCACGAGGUCCUGGGUUCAAUCCCCAGUCCCUCCA
RNAcentral lists this transfer RNA (72 nucleotides) under Camelus bactrianus (Bactrian camel). It matches the Rfam family "tRNA". From Rfam's summary of the family: Transfer RNA (tRNA) molecules are approximately 80 nucleotides in length. Their secondary structure includes four short double-helical elements and three loops (D, anti-codon, and T loops). RNAcentral also lists the same sequence under 1 other name. Lineage: Eukaryota; Metazoa; Chordata; Mammalia; Artiodactyla; Camelidae. The record is from Rfam by way of RNAcentral.